UCUGGCGUAGCUCAAUGGUGGAGCAUCCGGCUGUUAACCGGAGGGUUGCUAGUUCGAGUCUAGCCGCCAGAGCCA
This 75-nucleotide transfer RNA is filed under the name Bacillota bacterium. Its description in RNAcentral is "tRNA-Asn". It matches the Rfam family "tRNA". From Rfam's summary of the family: Transfer RNA (tRNA) molecules are approximately 80 nucleotides in length. Their secondary structure includes four short double-helical elements and three loops (D, anti-codon, and T loops). Further hydrogen bonds mediate the characteristic L-shaped molecular structure. tRNAs have two regions of fundamental functional importance: the anti-codon, which is responsible for specific mRNA codon recognition, and the 3' end, to which the tRNAs corresponding amino acid is attached (by aminoacyl-tRNA synthetases). tRNAs cope with the degeneracy of the genetic code in two manners: having more than one tRNA (with a specific anti-codon) for a particular amino acid; and 'wobble' base-pairing, i.e. permitting non-standard base-pairing at the 3rd anti-codon position. Lineage: Bacteria; Bacillati; Bacillota. The record is from RNAcentral.